GCUCAUGGCCAUAAUGGCAUCUGCAUGCUUGUUCUUGUCUGGUCACAGACUCUAGGCAGGAUCAGGCUUGGUGGGUCCAUGAAUGGGAGACUGCAUUGGAACAGCAAGUGCUAUGAAUG
RNAcentral lists this ribosomal RNA (119 nucleotides) under Cyprinodon variegatus (sheepshead minnow). The record is from RNAcentral. Lineage: Eukaryota; Metazoa; Chordata; Actinopteri; Cyprinodontiformes; Cyprinodontidae.